This 238-nucleotide ribosomal RNA is filed under the name uncultured Candidatus Saccharibacteria bacterium. RNAcentral's name for it is "partial 16S ribosomal RNA". It matches the Rfam family "Bacterial small subunit ribosomal RNA", at positions 583 to 818 of the family's 1533-position model. Lineage: Bacteria; Candidatus Saccharimonadota. The record is from RNAcentral.
AUAAGUGAAUAGUGAAAUCUGGCGGCUCAACCGUACAGGCUAUUAUUCAAACUCACUAACUCGAGAAUGGUAGAGGUAACUGGAAUUUCUUGUGUAGGAGUGAAAUCCGUAGAUAUAAGAAGGAACACCAAUGGCGUAGGCAGGUUACUGGACCAUUUUCUGACGCUAAGGCACGAAAGCGUGGGGAGCAAACGGGAUUAGAUACCCCGGAAGUCCACGCCGUAAACUAUGGAUACUA